GGGCCCGCACAAGCGGUGGAGCAUGUGGUUUAAUUCGACGCAACGCGAAGAACCUUACCCAGGCUUGACAUGCAUUGGACGGGUGUGGAAACACACCUUCCCUUCGGGGCCGAUGCACAGGUGCUGCAUGGCUGUCGUCAGCUCGUGUCGUGAGAUGUUGGGUUAAGUCCCGCAACGAGCGCAACCCUUGCCCUUAGUUGCUAUCAGGUAAUGCUGAGCUCUCUAAGGGGACUGCCGGUGAUAAACCGGAGGAAGGUGGGGAUGAUGUCAAGUCCUCAUGGCCCUUACGCCUGGGGCUACACACGUGCUACAAUGGCCGGUACAAAGGGUUCCGAAGUCGCGAGAUAGAGGCAAUCCCAAAAAACCGGUCUCAGUUCGGAUUGCAGUCUGCAACUCGACUGCAUGAAGUUGGAAUCGCUAGUAAUCGCUGAUCAGCAGGCAGCGGUGAAUACGUUCCCGGGCCUU
This 465-nucleotide ribosomal RNA is filed under the name uncultured bacterium. RNAcentral's name for it is "bacterial SSU rRNA". It matches the Rfam family "Bacterial small subunit ribosomal RNA", at positions 917 to 1382 of the family's 1533-position model. The record is from RNAcentral.